This 206-nucleotide long non-coding RNA is filed under the name Setaria viridis. Its description in RNAcentral is "long non-coding RNA (SVIR_LNC005637)". Lineage: Eukaryota; Viridiplantae; Streptophyta; Magnoliopsida; Poales; Poaceae. The record is from RNAcentral.
CUGGAUAGGAGAUUCGGCAUCAGCUAAUAGCUUGGCAUAGCUGUCAACGGGGGUGGCGCAAGUCUUACAAUAAGACAUAUUAGUACGCUUCAGAAUGUCCAGGGUGUACAGAUGCUGAGACAAACAUACCGCUAGCGGUGCGUUGAACAUGAACACCAAGAAUGUGAUGAAGAUUACCCAAAUCUGACAUAGAAAACUCCCACUGC